RNAcentral lists this ribosomal RNA (268 nucleotides) under uncultured bacterium. Its description in RNAcentral is "partial 16S ribosomal RNA". It matches the Rfam family "Bacterial small subunit ribosomal RNA", at positions 205 to 490 of the family's 1533-position model. The record is from RNAcentral.
AGAUUUAUUGCUGAAAGAUGGUCUCGCGUCUGAUUAGCUNGUUGGUGAGGUAACGGCUCACCAAGGCGGCGAUCAGUAGCCGGUCUGAGAGGAUGAACGGCCACAUUGGGACUGAGAUACGGCCCAGACUCCUACGGGAGGCAGCAGUGGGGNAUAUUGGGCAAUGGGGGNNACCCUGACCCAGCAANGCNGCGUGAAGGAAGAAGGCUUUCGGGUUGUAAACUUCUUUUAGCAGGGNCGAAGAACGUGACGGUACCUGCAGAAAAAG